Molecule: long non-coding RNA, 3538 nt
Filed under: Agrilus planipennis (emerald ash borer)
Lineage: Eukaryota; Metazoa; Arthropoda; Insecta; Coleoptera; Buprestidae
Description: uncharacterized LOC108741072, transcript variant X3
Source: RNAcentral
CCCACCCUCUUAGGAAUAAAUCUCUAUAAAUUAAUUUAUUUCCUGUUUGUUAAUUAGUAUAGUUUUUGUUACUCCUGAAGAUACGUAUCGAGGUUUUAAUAAAGUUUUAAGUGAAAGUCCCAAGUUUUUUGAUUUAAUUUUUAAUUUUUAACUUCAAUUCAAUUGCCAUAAUUAAAUGUUAAUUGUAGGUACUAUUUUCCAAAUUUACUAUUUAUUUUUUUCUUUUGCGCUCGAGUACCUACCUACAGGUAGCCAGCCAGGUAAUAAGCGUUCGUCCAAUGGGCAUGUAGGAGUGAUUACUAAUUUUUAAUUUAGGUACUUGAUUUCUAUGAUGAUGAAUAAAAAAGAAACACUUUUAUGGAUUUUACUCUAACGUGUAUUUCGGCUGUAAUGAUAUCAUCAAAGAGUUAAUAUUCUCAACUGGAGUUAUUAGCACUUUGACGAUGGAUAUUUUAGAGUGAAAUCUAAAAAAUAAUUUAGUGAAACAUAUAAACCAAGCAAGCAAGGUUUCUUUUUUAUUCAUCGUAUUCAUUCAUAGUAUUAAAAAGCGAUCGUCUUCGGCUUACCACAAUUUCGACUAUUACAUAAUGUCGUUCUCGUCCAACACGAAUUACGCCACUGUUGCCACCACAUUUACAAUGCUUAACGGCACACAGGAUUUCUUUUCAUAUUCCAUUCUCAAUUUACAUUUUGUCGUUUUAAUGUUUUUUUUCAAUUACGAAAUUUCAUUUAUUUUACUGCUGCACAUCUAAAAUCUUAGUUCUUUCAAAGCAAAUAUACAUGUCACAAAUUAGAAAUACAUAACUUUCGAAUUUUAUCACUGGGUGCCUACAUAAAUUUCGUUAAGCUUAAAAUCAAGGAGUGGGAAUAUAAGUAUGUUGGUAAUGAAGUAAGUACGUACUACCACCCUAUCAGUGGGUGGGGUAUCAAUAAUAUAUUAUAUGUUUUACCUUUUACUAAUCUUGUAUCUUCGAUUCUGUUUCAGCAUGACCGGUAAGUGAAGUACUUUACAUCCAACCAAAUAUCUUUUUAAACGAUGAUACUAACAAUUUUACCUAUUUUCUUUUUCAGGUUUCCGUGGGUCAAUCUUUCUCUUCUCGCUUGGGAAGAGAAAGAAGAACAUCGAUCGAUUAAAACAACCAAACAUGAUCACACAUAUCGUUAACAUCGCGAUCGAAGUGUAUCCGUCACGUUAUUGUUUAGUUGGGGUGUUCGUUGUUUGAUGAAAACAUUUAUUCUCCAUCCUCUUGAAAACCAUAAAUAUCUCCUUUUAAUAUUGUCGUGGUUCUGUUGUCUCGACUUCGUUAUCUCCACUCUUCUUCGUUAGAAAAUCAUAAUGAUAGGUAUCAGUCUUGGAGGCAACAGUCUGCUCACUUCAAUACAAACUUGGCGGAGGGUCAAUUUUUUGCGGUAUUUGCGAUCCAUCCCAAUGGGACUUUUAGCGCAAUGACAAGUGAAACCCACUAUAUACGAUUAUUUCAUUAGUGGCUUUCCCUUUCCAUUUUUCGUGUCGUUUUCGGAUCGAGUGAAAUGCGGAUUGGUGUUAGUGUUAAUAGGAAGAAGAUUAGUGUCCGCAGAGACACCAGGUCAAUAAACAGAAUGGGUAAAAUGUGCCUUCGGGCAUGUACAGGUACACGUUUGAGAGUAUGUUUUAGGAACAGGAAGCAAAUAGAAUAGAUCCGUGAUCCGAAUUGUACAAUUACAGUUUACAUAGAUGAUCGGGACGAGGAGGAUAAAAAAAUAGCACGUCGAAGAUAAAUUCCUACCUAUUAUGCAUGUUGGCGUUUUGAUUUUGGUGUUGGUGCUAAUAGGAAGAAGGCUAGUGUCCGCAGAGACACCAGGUCUAUAAGCACCAGAAGUAAUGUGCCUUUGUGCAUGUACAAGGACAUGUUUGAAAGUAUGUUUUAGGAACCAGAAGCAAAUAGAAACAUGGAGCUGUACGAUUAUGAUUUCCAACAUUGUUGGAAUCGUUGUUUACUCUAAUUUAAUUUGUGUCUUUAGUUUUAAUUUCUUUUCAGUCCCUGAACGAGGUAACCCUGUUACCGAAUAGUCCUUCGGACGCUAAUCAUCAUAUGUUGGCGUUAGGGUUUGAGCUGUUUAAAGUAUUUCAGAAACAUGGUACAUAGGUAUAUGGUUUAUAUUUGGUGAUAAAGUAAAAAGUAAAAAAACAUGGUACCUACUACGCAAGUUGAGGACUGCAAGGGUAUUAUGGAAUUGCGGGGGUGAUGGAGGGUCAUAGCCAACAACGGGCAGUUCCUACCGGAGCAUGGAAUAUUUUAUUGUUUGUUCGUCAUAAUUUCAUUUUCUUUGUUAGGGUCCGAAAUGUCGAAAUAAUCGACAAAUAAACCGUUCAAAAGAUUACAGGGAUGUUAGAGAGGACAUCAACAAACCAAAACCGGUUGGUUUACAGCCGGUGGGACGCCUUAAGCCGUUUGGUUGCUUGCUUCACCCACUGGGUGUUUUUAAUUCUUUUUAACUAACCUUUUGUCUAAGCAUCCAUUUCACAGGUACGAAAGACAUGUUGAGGCCCGCAAAACAGUUGAUGAGUUUGCGGGGGUGGUGGAGGGUCUCAACGCACUAGGAGGAGUUGGUGAUUUAGGGUUCUAAAAUGUAAAGUUAUCAAGAAAACCAUUGAUCUAUAAGUUCCACGUAUACCACCACCACUACCGUCCCAGAAGUGUCUCCAGCAGUUUGGAAGAUGACCAGGUUUAUGUCGAUGAGUAGGAAGGGACGAGGAAUGAUGAGAAAGACAAGACUACCUUUUCACCUACCGGCGGGUGUUCUAAAUUCCUUCUAAUUGCAACCUUUUGUUCCAGAAUCGAACGUGGAGGUCUCAAAGUGUCCCAGAGUAAUCGGCCAAUGAACCGUUCAAAAGAUUGCAAGGGUGUUAGAAAGGACUUGAACAAAUCACAAUUCGUUGGUAAACAAAUCCCAAGUAUGGCGCUACCAGAUUGUAUUACCGCCCUUGGAACGCCACAAGCAGUUUGGAUGCCUGCAACCAGCAUUGGGUGUUUUUUAAUUGACCUUUUCUCUUAGCAUCCACUUCACUGGUAUGAAAAGACAUGUUGAGGCCCGCAAAACAGUUGAUGAGUUUGCGGGUGUGGUGGGGGGUUCUAAACCAACCAGGAGGUGUUAGGGAUGUAGUGUUUGUCAGGGUUCUAAAGUGUAAAGUUUUCAAGAGAACCAUUGAUUUAUGAGUCCCAUGUGCGCCAUUACCACUAGCGUCCCAGGAGUGUCUCCACCGGUUUGGAAGAUGAUCAGAUUUAUUUCAAUGAAUGGGAAGAAUUAUGAGAAAGAAUCGAACGUGGAAUUAUGAGAGAGUGUGUUGAGGCCCGCAAAACAGUUGAUGAGUUUGCGGGGGUGGUGGGGGGUUCUCAACCAACCAGGAGGUGUUAGGGAUGGAGGGUUCUAAAAUGUAAAGUUUUCAAGAAAACCAUUGAUUUGUAAGUCCCAUGUAUGCCAUUGCCACUACCAUCCCAGGAGUGUCUCACUAGUUUGGAGGAUGAUCAGGUUUACUUCAAGAAUGGCAAGAAUUAUA